Regulatory RNA element from Candidatus Brocadia sinica JPN1, 112 nucleotides. It matches the Rfam family "c-di-GMP-I-GGC riboswitch aptamer". NCBI's taxonomy places the organism in Bacteria, Pseudomonadati, Planctomycetota, Candidatus Brocadiia, Candidatus Brocadiales, Candidatus Brocadiaceae. The record is from Rfam.
CCCGAAAAAGGCAAACCCUGAGUGAUCAGGGGGCGCAAAGUAAAGGAUCUCGUCAGCCAUUUAAGCAGUUUAAACAAUUUAAACCGCUCAUGAGACAGCCUUACUGCCGAAG